Molecule: ribosomal RNA, 446 nt
Filed under: uncultured bacterium
Lineage: Bacteria
Description: bacterial SSU rRNA
Rfam family: Bacterial small subunit ribosomal RNA
Source: RNAcentral
GUGAGGAAUAUUGGUCAAUGGACGAGAGUCUGAACCAGCCAAGUAGCGUGCAGGAUGACGGCCCUAUGGGUUGUAAACUGCUUUUAUAAGGGAAUAAAGUGAGUCUCGUGAGACUUUUUGCAUGUACCUUAUGAAUAAGGACCGGCUAAUUCCGUGCCAGCAGCCGCGGUAAUACGGAAGGUCCGGGCGUUAUCCGGAUUUAUUGGGUUUAAAGGGAGCGUAGGCCGGAGAUUAAGCGUGUUGUGAAAUGUAGACGCUCAACGUCUGCACUGCAGCGCGAACUGGUUUCCUUGAGUACGCACAAAGUGGGCGGAAUUCGUGGUGUAGCGGUGAAAUGCUUAGAUAUCACGAAGAACUCCGAUUGCGAAGGCAGCUCACUGGAGCGCAACUGACGCUGAAGCUCGAAAGUGCGGGUAUCGAACAGGAUUAGAAACCCCAGUAGUCCC